RNAcentral lists this ribosomal RNA (2648 nucleotides) under Escherichia coli. Its description in RNAcentral is "partial 23S ribosomal RNA". It matches the Rfam family "Bacterial large subunit ribosomal RNA". Lineage: Bacteria; Pseudomonadati; Pseudomonadota; Gammaproteobacteria; Enterobacterales; Enterobacteriaceae. The record is from RNAcentral.
GUUAAGCGACUAAGCGUACACGGUGGAUGCCCUGGCAGUCAGAGGCGAUGAAGGACGUGCUAAUCUGCGAUAAGCGUCGGUGAGGUGAUAUGAACCGUUAUAACCGGCGAUUUCCGAAUGGGGAAACCCAGUGUGUUUCGACACACUAUCAUUAACUGAAUCCAUAGGUUAAUGAGGCGAACCGGGGGAACUGAAACAUCUAAGUACCCCGAGGAAAAGAAAUCAACCGAGAUUCCCCCAGUAGCGGCGAGCGAACGGGGAGGAGCCCAGAGCCUGAAUCAGUGUGUGUGUUAGUGGAAGCGUCUGGAAAGGCGCGCGAUACAGGGUGACAGCCCCGUACACAAAAAUGCACAUAUUGUGAGCUCGAUGAGUAGGGCGGGACACGUGGUAUCCUGUCUGAAUAUGGGGGGACCAUCCUCCAAGGCUAAAUACUCCUGACUGACCGAUAGUGAACCAGUACCGUGAGGGAAAGGCGAAAAGAACCCCGGCGAGGGGAGUGAAAAAGAACCUGAAACCGUGUACGUACAAGCAGUGGGAGCCUCUUUAUGGGGUGACUGCGUACCUUUUGUAUAAUGGGUCAGCGACUUAUAUUCUGUAGCAAGGUUAACCGAAUAGGGGAGCCGAAGGGAAACCGAGUCUUAACUGGGCGUUAAGUUGCAGGGUAUAGACCCGAAACCCGGUGAUCUAGCCAUGGGCAGGUUGAAGGUUGGGUAACACUAACUGGAGGACCGAACCGACUAAUGUUGAAAAAUUAGCGGAUGACUUGUGGCUGGGGGUGAAAGGCCAAUCAAACCGGGAGAUAGCUGGUUCUCCCCGAAAGCUAUUUAGGUAGCGCCUCGUGAAUUCAUCUCCGGGGGUAGAGCACUGUUUCGGCAAGGGGGUCAUCCCGACUUACCAACCCGAUGCAAACUGCGAAUACCGGAGAAUGUUAUCACGGGAGACACACGGCGGGUGCUAACGUCCGUCGUGAAGAGGGAAACAACCCAGACCGCCAGCUAAGGUCCCAAAGUCAUGGUUAAGUGGGAAACGAUGUGGGAAGGCCCAGACAGCCAGGAUGUUGGCUUAGAAGCAGCCAUCAUUUAAAGAAAGCGUAAUAGCUCACUGGUCGAGUCGGCCUGCGCGGAAGAUGUAACGGGGCUAAACCAUGCACCGAAGCUGCGGCAGCGACACUAUGUGUUGUUGGGUAGGGGAGCGUUCUGUAAGCCUGUGAAGGUGGCCUGUGAGGGUUGCUGGAGGUAUCAGAAGUGCGAAUGCUGACAUAAGUAACGAUAAAGCGGGUGAAAAGCCCGCUCGCCGGAAGACCAAGGGUUCCUGUCCAACGUUAAUCGGGGCAGGGUGAGUCGACCCCUAAGGCGAGGCCGAAAGGCGUAGUCGAUGGGAAACAGGUUAAUAUUCCUGUACUUGGUGUUACUGCGAAGGGGGGACGGAGAAGGCUAUGUUGGCCGGGCGACGGUUGUCCCGGUUUAAGCGUGUAGGCUGGUUUUCCAGGCAAAUCCGGAAAACCAAGGCUGAGGCGUGAUGACGAGGCACUACGGUGCUGAAGCGACAAAUGCCCUGCUUCCAGGAAAAGCCUCUAAGCAUCAGGUAACAUCAAAUCGUACCCCAAACCGACACAGGUGGUCAGGUAGAGAAUACCAAGGCGCUUGAGAGAACUCGGGUGAAGGAACUAGGCAAAAUGGUGCCGUAACUUCGGGAGAAGGCACGCUGAUAUGUAGGUGAAGCGACUUGCUCGUGGAGCUGAAAUCAGUCGAAGAUACCAGCUGGCUGCAACUGUUUAUUAAAAACACAGCACUGUGCAAACACGAAAGUGGACGUAUACGGUGUGACGCCUGCCCGGUGCCGGAAGGUUAAUUGAUGGGGUUAGCGGUAACGCGAAGCUCUUGAUCGAAGCCCCGGUAAACGGCGGCCGUAACUAUAACGGUCCUAAGGUAGCGAAAUUCCUUGUCGGGUAAGUUCCGACCUGCACGAAUGGCGUAAUGAUGGCCAGGCUGUCUCCACCCGAGACUCAGUGAAAUUGAACUCGCUGUGAAGAUGCAGUGUACCCGCGGCAAGACGGAAAGACCCCGUGAACCUUUACUAUAGCUUGACACUGAACAUUGAGCCUUGAUGUGUAGGAUAGGUGGGAGGCUUUGAAGUGUGGACGCCAGUCUGCAUGGAGCCGACCUUGAAAUACCACCCUUUAAUGUUUGAUGUUCUAACGUUGGCCCGUAAUCCGGGUUGCGGACAGUGUCUGGUGGGUAGUUUGACUGGGGCGGUCUCCUCCUAAAGAGUAACGGAGGAGCACGAAGGUUGGCUAAUCCUGGUCGGACAUCAGGAGGUUAGUGCAAUGGCAUAAGCCAGCUUGACUGCGAGCGUGACGGCGCGAGCAGGUGCGAAAGCAGGUCAUAGUGAUCCGGUGGUUCUGAAUGGAAGGGCCAUCGCUCAACGGAUAAAAGGUACUCCGGGGAUAACAGGCUGAUACCGCCCAAGAGUUCAUAUCGACGGCGGUGUUUGGCACCUCGAUGUCGGCUCAUCACAUCCUGGGGCUGAAGUAGGUCCCAAGGGUAUGGCUGUUCGCCAUUUAAAGUGGUACGCGAGCUGGGUUUAGAACGUCGUGAGACAGUUCGGUCCCUAUCUGCCGUGGGCGCUGGAGAACUGAGGGGGGCUGC